GAUGAACGCUAGCGGCAGGCUUAACACAUGCAAGUCGAGGGCGAUUGAUAUUAGCAAUAGUAUUAAUUGACCGGCGAAAGGGUGCGUAACGCGUGAGUAACAUACCCGUUACAGAGGGAUAGUCGAUGGAAACGUCGUAUAAUACCUCAUAGUAUAGAUUUAUCCCCUGAUAGAUUUAUUAAAUCGUAAGAGGUAACGGAGUGGCUCGCGUCCCAUUAGUUAGUUGGCGUGGUAACGGCACACCAAGACAACGAUGGGUAGGGGUUCUGAGAGGAAGGUCCCCCACACUGGAACUGAGACACGGUCCAGACUCCUACGGGAGGCAGCAGUGAGGAAUAUUGGUCAAUGGACGGAAGCCUGAACCAGCCAUGCCGCGUGCAGGAAUAGAUCCCUAUGGGACAUAAACUGCUUUUGAUACUGAGCAAGAGCAUAUACGUGUAUAUGAGUGAGAGUAAGUAUCGAAUAAGCAUCGGCUAACUCCGUGCCAGCAGCCGCGGUAAUACGGGGGAUGCAAGCGUUAUCCGGAAUUAUUGGGUUUAAAGGGUGCGUAGGCUGUGCGGUGCGUCUGUGGUUAAAGGCCUCUGCUUAACGGAGCGUAUGCCAUAGAAACGGCCGUGCUUGAGAGUGAUUGCCGUGGGAGGAAUGUGUGGUGUAGCGGUGAAAUGCAUAGAUAUCACACAGAACACCGAUUGCGAAGGCAUCUCACGAAGUCAUAUCUGACGCUGAAGCACGAAAGCGUGGGAAUCAAACAGGAUUAGAUACCCUGGUAGUCCACGCUGUAAACGAUGAUAACUAACCGCCGGCGAUAGACUGAUCGGUGGCUAAGCGAAAGCGAUAAGUUAUCCACCUGGGGAGUACGACCGCAAAGUUGAAACUCAAAAGAAUUGACCGGGGG
RNAcentral lists this ribosomal RNA (895 nucleotides) under Bacteroidetes bacterium oral taxon 503. RNAcentral describes it as "bacterial SSU rRNA". It matches the Rfam family "Bacterial small subunit ribosomal RNA", at positions 28 to 920 of the family's 1533-position model. Lineage: Bacteria; Pseudomonadati; Bacteroidota. The record is from RNAcentral.